Non-coding RNA from Glycine soja, 119 nucleotides. Lineage: Eukaryota; Viridiplantae; Streptophyta; Magnoliopsida; Fabales; Fabaceae. The record is from Rfam.
UUCUUAUUGGAUGAUAACUGUCACGUGUCAUAUUCUGAUUAGUCAAUGAAAACAAAAUGCAUUUCAUCUUUCAUGGAGUUGACAUCUAAUCAGAACAUGACAGGUGACAGUAUCCAAUA